Molecule: ribosomal RNA, 253 nt
Filed under: uncultured bacterium
Lineage: Bacteria
Description: partial 16S ribosomal RNA
Rfam family: Bacterial small subunit ribosomal RNA
Source: RNAcentral
UACAGAGGGUGCGAGCGUUGUCCGGAAUCACUGGGCGUAAAGGGUGCGUAGGCGGUUUGGUAAGUCUUAUGUGAAAUCUACAGGCUCAACUUGUAGUCUGCAUGAGAAACUGCCGGGCUUGAGUAUGGGAGAGGUGAGUGGAAUUCCUGGUGUAGCGGUGAAAUGCGUAGAUAUUGGGAGGAACACCAGUGGCGAAGGCGGCUCACUGGACCGGAACUGACGCUGAGGCGCGAAAGCGUGGGGAGCAAACGGG